Molecule: ribosomal RNA, 253 nt
Filed under: uncultured bacterium
Lineage: Bacteria
Also listed under: 1 other name
Description: partial 16S ribosomal RNA
Rfam family: Bacterial small subunit ribosomal RNA
Source: RNAcentral
UACGUAGGUGGCGAGCGUUGUCCGGAUUUACUGGGCGUAAAGAGCGCGCAGGCGGUCGUGCAAGUCGCGUGUGAAAGCCCCCGGCUCAACUGGGGAGGGUCACGCGAUACUGCUCGACUCGAAGGCAGGAGAGGGAAGUGGAAUUCCCGGUGUAGUGGUGAAAUGCGUAGAUAUCGGGAGGAACACCAGUGGCGAAGGCGACUUCCUGGCCUGUUCUUGACGCUGAGGCGCGAAAGCUAGGGUAGCAAACGGG